AUUACAUUUGUUACUGUCACAGAUUAGUGACUGGUACUUUAUUUUAUCAUUUUACAAUGUCCCAAAUUACUACAUAUUCAAUGGAAAUGAUGCUGGCAGCAUGGAGCUCAAGAAAACACAAAUUUAAACUCUUGAAAAGCAUAGAAUUAUGGUCUAGAUGUUGUAUAGUUUUAUAUUUAAGAUGUUCUUGGGUAAUUCCUGUUCCUUAAACGGUCUUAUAAUUGGGGAAAUUCUGUGGUUACUUUGCUCUUAAUGGACUGAAUCUUACUUUGUAGAUAACCACCAUUGAAUGAAUUAACAACAGUUCAUCUAAUGGUAAAUGUAAUAAAG
RNAcentral lists this unclassified non-coding RNA (330 nucleotides) under Hevea brasiliensis (rubber tree). Lineage: Eukaryota; Viridiplantae; Streptophyta; Magnoliopsida; Malpighiales; Euphorbiaceae. The record is from RNAcentral.